UCACCGGAGAAAGGAACUUGGGCCGGGUCCCCCAUUGGGGCGUUAGAGAGACCCGCGGCCCCUCCAGGGAGAGGGAGUGCUUCAGGAGCAGCAAACAAGAGAAAUGGGCUUCGGAGGCCCGGGGAGGCAAGGCCAAGGCCCAGGGAACCCCCGGCUCUUACUAGGGCGCUGCCCUCCUCUGGAAGGGCGUUGGAUCCGGGGUGCGAUGGCCGAGGCAGGUGGCCUGGCUUGACCCAGCUAUGGGGGGACUCUAAACAGUAGGUGCCUGGCCUGGAAUCCCGGGCGCCCAACAAAGUAACGAAUGCCCCUCCAAGGUGGGGCCGAGGGAGCCCCUGUUCCCCCGACCCCAGAGCCGCUGGGCUUCGGACAGCUUCCUCUCCAUCCGGGCGGGACACUUCGCCAGAGGCCUGGUCCCCUCAGGCUUUCCUGGCACACGCGGACUCUCCGGGCUGGGGCUCUGGGGUUCUGGCUCUCCCCGCUCGCCCCAUCGGGGUCAGCUACUUUUGAGUCGGGCCGAGCAGAUGUAUAUGGCUCAACGCUUUCAGCCGCCGAACACCCAAACAAAGAGACCCCAUUGUUUCUGUCUGAGUGGAUUUGUUUAGACUGGGGAGAUGCAGGCAGAGCAGGGGAAAAGCAAAAAAGAAAACAGAAAUAAACACUCCAGAAUUCAGAUUCCUUUGCUGGAAGCCGUGGUUGUGACUAAACAGAGAAAAUCUAGGACCCCAGAGACUGGAGAAGUCACAAGGGGGUGAGAAAAAUCCCUGCAGAACGCUGUUUGCCCACAGCCGCCCCAGGCUUUCCUAGCUCAGCUCCAAGAAGGCCCCAGUGGCCACCCAUCCUUCACCUGGGAGAGUCAGCCCUACUGACUCUGGCUGGAAGAGGGAAAGCUGCCCCUUACCUCAGACACGUCUGCGUCCGCGAAUCCCCUGCCAGCCUGGGCUUAAACCCAGGGUGCCCUCCUGGGCCUGGCUGCCGACCCAGGGCCCAGCCCUUCUGAUAGAAAGCCACCAAUAUGACCUGCAUUUCCUAGAGCCAAGGACGCUAAGUCACCCACAGAGGGGGCUGGCCAGCCCAGGGGCCCGUGGUCCUCGGCCUCCUAGGGGCGCUUUCUGGAGCUUCGUGGAGCCCAAGGUCACUCAGAAAAUUUAUUAAAGUGAGACACCUUGCCUAUUUCUGAUUCCAAAUGUUGAUCUAGAGUUGGCCAAAUUUUAAGCACAGCCAGCUUUAAGUUCAGAAGAGGAAUCUGCACCUGGCAAUCCAAAAGGGCAGGCAUAACCGCGCCAAAGACAGUGGAAUGUGUUCUGAGAAGUCCUCCUCGCUGGUCACGGGGAAAACCUGUUUGGUUUCUUUAAUUGGUUGUCUCUGCCCGUUGGAUGGCAUUUCCCAAAUGGUCCCUCCGGAGCCAGUGUUUUAAUUAAAGUUCUAAUGUAUUGUCAAGUUGGGAAUUCGGGGCCUUGUUUGACUAAAGCAGGGGGCGUGGGCCAUCCUCUAAAGCAAAUUGCCCAUCCCGGGGGACCUGAGCUCAUCCAGGCCUGGGGCUGGCCUCCUUUCUUUCCUUUGCUUUCUUUCUUUUAUUGUCCAACACUUGUCAGGCUCCUGGGAAAUCAAGGGAAGUCUCGUUUUGAGGUCAUAAAAUUCUCUGUGAUGUAACCGUGCGAAAUUAUGUAAAUAAAGCCGGGCAGGCCUCCUCAAACACACAGAGAACCGGAUCCUGCCUGCGCCUCUGCCUGUAAUUUGCGUAAUGAGAAUUGUCCUGA
This 1757-nucleotide small RNA is filed under the name Pongo abelii (Sumatran orangutan). RNAcentral's name for it is "retained intron". The record is from RNAcentral. Lineage: Eukaryota; Metazoa; Chordata; Mammalia; Primates; Hominidae.